CCCCUCAUAGCUCAACUGGCAGAGCAACUCCCUCUUAAGGAGAUGGUUCCAGGUUCAAAUCCUGGUGAGGGGA
RNAcentral lists this transfer RNA (73 nucleotides) under bacterium. RNAcentral's name for it is "tRNA-Lys". It matches the Rfam family "tRNA". From Rfam's summary of the family: Transfer RNA (tRNA) molecules are approximately 80 nucleotides in length. The record is from RNAcentral. RNAcentral also lists the same sequence under 1 other name.